Molecule: long non-coding RNA, 7095 nt
Organism: Numida meleagris (helmeted guineafowl)
Lineage: Eukaryota; Metazoa; Chordata; Aves; Galliformes; Numididae
Exons: 2
Source: RefSeq, a predicted model, not a curated record
GCCAUGCCAGCACAAUGACUGACCAUGGAAGUUCCACAUGGCUGCAGGCUGCACCCUGUCAGCUGUCAUGGGCUGAGAUGGCUGUGGCUGGCGGUUUGCCCCUGAGGGCAGGUUUGCCCCUAAGGCCAAGCGUGGAGCUGCAAAACAUGCUGUGGGCAUUUCUGCCAUCGGGGCUUCUCCUCUGGUAAGUGAUGCUCAUCUUCCCCAUCAGACUCUCAGCUCUCCCUGCCCAAUGCUCCUCUAAAGCAGGGAUUUCACUGCCUGGUGUUUGGGCAUCUAAAAGCAAGCAGUGUUGGUGACUGAGGAGGUCUCUCCCCCAUGAAUAACAUGGCUGAAGUCUUGUUGGGUCAGUGAGUGGUUGUGGUCAGCAGCCAGCAUGGCACCACGCAGUGAGAUGAGACUCCUACCACACAGCAGCACUGACCUACAAGCAGCAUCUUGUCCUCAGGGAUGGGAUUUCCUGCUGCAUUUAUCAGCUUUGUCAGGACAAAGAGCUCGGCCAGGAGCUGGACCAGCCUCUGGUAGUGAGGGAGGAUGAGCAGCAGCAGGGACCAAGAUACAUACACAUUUAAUGUUAUGGCCAAAGCCAAAUGCAGUCAGAGAGAAGUGCCCAGGAGAUAAUGUAGGCUGGGGCAACAGCAUGCAGGAGGGGAGGGGAGAGAGAGAGCUGCCAAGCCCAUGAGGACAAGUGAGAAAUGCUGGGAUGAUAUUAAAUCCAGCAGGAAAGCCACAUGUGAUGAAGGCACAUGCAUGGAGCUGAACGAAAAGUGGCACUGCUCUUGGAGCUGGGGUGUGGGGAUGAAACACUCCAUGCUUUCCCUGGCAGAGUUUGGUUUUGCCAUUUGUUUGCCUCAAAAUGAGACUGACCCCCCUAUUCACUGAGUGCUUUUGCAGCCUUUUUUUUUUUUUUUAAUUGUCUCCGCGAAAUCUGGUGUUUUGUCUGCUGUGGCCUAGUGUUUACCAGCAAGAAGUCUUUGACAAAAUACUCAUGAUCAGCAAAGACACUGCAGUGGGAGCAGUGCUUAAAAAAUGCCACUGUCUGGGGCACACUGGGACCAGUGUUUGGGCUUCUGAUGCUCUCUGGUUUGAGGUGUAGCAACAGGCAGAGGAGGAUUCCCUGAAGCACUUCGCCAGCCAGUGCCGAGCCCUCUCUUUCUCCGUUGAUGCUGCAGCUGAAUUGGAGCCGGGCACUCUCCCAAGGCGAGCAGAGCUCGGGUGAGGAGCUGGUUGAAACCCAAGCUGCUUCAGAACACGAAGGCCAGUUUUGACAAGGGAAUGAAAUCCAAGGCAGGGAAAGGAUGGAAUGCGGGGAAGUGUAAGUAGCCAUGCACCAAUGCUGGGCAGCCAGCAGCCUGCAGCCAGGCCACGCUGCAGGGGGACAUUAGAAAUUAGAGGACUGACCCCACCGCAACCACUACCACUGCAUGGCUUCCGGCUCAGGCAAGCACAACCAGGAGGUGCAGCCGCACCUUUUUCGGUUCUCACAGACAAACUGGAAGGAGGUUACAGAGAGCGAUGAGGACCAGGUCAGUGGAGGCUGAAAGCAAUCAGCACUGCCAGGAAUCAGCCCUUUUCCAGCAGCAGCCCUUUAGGUGGAUGAAGGAUUUGGCCGGUGAAAACAUUGCCAUGACCCUGGGGCACUGUGGAGUGCGUGGUAGGUCUUCAAGAACAACUAUCUCAAGGCAAGACAAGCACAUGGAAUUUUUCCCUGUGAUUCAGGAGGACUGGGCUAAGGCUGGCCACUCAUGAUGCAGAAACAGGUUUUUUUUCCAGCAGCAGAUGUGCAGCAGCAGGGACAAGUGGGGUGGGGAGGCACACACACCUCCCAUGGUCCCUCCCAUGCAGCCAGGCACUAUAGCGUCUCACUCCUGCUCCCCAUCUCUACCAUAGGGCCAGGUAGAGGGUGGUGGCAGUGGGGUCGUUCAGCCCAGCUAAUUAGCACUGCUAUUUCUAUCUCUAGCCUUUUCUCAGCUUGUAUCCAUCUGGGGCUCUCUUCGAUCAUUACAGAGCUUUCCACUCUCUUGUUUUUUAUUCUCUCUCACUCUGCCUUCCAGAUUUUUGCCACUGUUUCAUGUUGCUGUCCAAGUUAUUUGUCUUUUCUGUCUUGCUCUGGUCGUGGGAACAUUAGCAAUGUUUUUCUGUAGAGCAGGGUGGCUUAGAGACAGCCCUGCAGACCUGACAACUGUCCUGGUGUUGCUGGCAAGACUGGAGCAGCUCAGCCAGCCCCCGAUUGCCAAUCAUGUUCCCAGUUCAUUCCCAUCUCAUCUGCCCACAGCUCCUUGCUCCAACUGUGCCAUGAGACAUCGUCACAGCCAUGGAGCUGCACCCCAUGCGAGGAGUCCGGCAGGGUGUCGAUGUGGGGGCGCACGUGCAGGUAGACACCAGGUGCAAGCACUCCCAUUAAAUGCCAUUUCUUCCCUUGCUCUGGCCCAAAUCUGCUCCUUUUUUUACCUGGGAGAGCCACUGGGCCAGUCUGAAAUCAGAGAGGGAAAAUGGGCAGAGGCAGUGGGAACAAGAACAGUGGAAAUACAAAUGGGUUAUGUGCUUCCUUGGAUGGAAAGAGGCCCAGGUUGUUAAAUAGGAGGCAAUUUUAGCAUGAGUUAUUAUUAUUGGUUGUUUGUACUGGGAAGUGGUGCCUCGGGGCUCCCAUUCCACUAAUCAUGUAACAAAACUAUGUUCCUCACACAAAUAGCUUGUAUUUCAGCAUGCAGAGAACAAGCAGUCUCCUUCCCAUUAUCCCCCCUUGAAAAAACUGUAUGAAGAUUGCACAGUCAAGCCCACAAACACUGAGAAAGGAAAAAAUGACACUGGCCUGCCCUGUGGUGCCAUAGCUUACAGCCAUCCUGGAAGCCUCACCGUCACCUUCAGCUCCUCCUGUGUAUUCCAUUCGCAACUCUGGCAGGUCUCAGCUCUGCAUUGCUGUUAUUAGUGAUUUUUUGUUGCCCUUGUGUUUGGAGUUCGGGUGUAUUAACUUCACACGAUCUGUUUAGGAUGUUUAACACAGCAGUUCUCCAGAGUACAUGCCCCUCUGAAGUAAGAAACCAUUUAAUAAAUUCAAUUAUUAAUUCACAGCUUUGGCACCAAAACACAGACUAACUGAAGGUCAACAGCAUCCACUAAGUUUGGAUGUUACAAACCAAGACUGUCCUGCUGUUUCUCAGUUUUCUGAGGACUUGGCACAAUGCUGAGCUGUGCCAUGUCAAGUCACAUCUCCUCCUGCACACACAUGGGCAAGUCUUUACUGUUUUAGCAUUCCAGAUGUCACAGAGUCUGCUGCUGCUUCUGUCAUGUCCGUGCCUGAGGCGUGCCUUCUUUAGCCACAGCGGGACAGGCUACAGAGGGAUGGUGGAGGGGGAUGGUGCCUUGCUGAGCCUGCAACUGUGUGUAACCAGUGCUCACCAGGACAUCAUAUUGGUGGAGAAAGCCCCCAACCCAUGAGCUGGUCCUGGAGCUCGACCAUGCUCUAGGCAGAUUUUGACUGGCAGCGCAUGAGAGGAGGUAGUGUGGCUGCUAUCAAACCCCAGUCCUGCCACAGGCUCUCCUUCACACUAUGAACCGCUCCAAGGCCACUCCUCCUGCCUCACUUUCUUCUCACCUGGUCAGGCAACACCUCUCCAUCCUGCCCAAACUUUAAGCUUUUAAGCUCUUCAAGCUCUUCAAACUUGAUGUCAAAAGCUUAAUAACAGCUGAAGAGUGAGGGGAAAAAAAAAAAGCCAUGAAAAGGCCUUUUCAACCAAGGCCUUGUCCUUGGAAAUGAUUAAGCAGUUUUGGUCAAGCUAGGAGUCAGGCAAAUACUGAGCACUAGGAGAGUGGUAUGGGUCUUGCAGAGAUAAAUGCAAUCGAAACAGAAGUCUUGAAAUGAGAUUGUCUUGAUCACCUUAAAAUGAAGCAGCCCUACAACUCCUUCUAGUGUUUGCCUCAACUAAAAGGACAUUGCUUGCUCUGGAUGCACACUACAUACAAGCCCGCAUGACUGCUAUACUUAACUGGAACACUCAUUAAAUCAGUCCAAGAUCUUCACUUUGAAUUAGACUGCAUUUAAGCAUUUUGAAGGCCACCCAAUGAUCCACCAGAGCGACCAUGUGCAGACUAACCCAGCCAGACUUCCCCAGUCCUAUGCUUCUUCCUAGGUGGCCAAAUCUUUGGCAGAGAUGCUUGCUAAAUGAGGUAAGAAAAAACAGCCUCCAUAUAGCAGGACAGACUCUUAACACAGCUUGGCUUUGACCUCUGAAAUGCCCGUGGCUGGAAGUUAAUCACAUUGGUUCCUCCUCUCCUUUCAAAAUUUUGUCUUUGUGAGACUGCAGUUUCAUGUAUUCCUCCAUUCUGCAUCCCCUGCCCCCCUCCCCUGAGGUUCUUCUUUAAAGAGAAGGUCUUGACUCCCUGUUGAUAUUUAAAAUGGGAAUGAAAUGAAGCAAUCAGCUGGGAAGCACAAACAGAAAAGUGAGUGGACAUGAGUGGAACUGAUACACACUGAUCACAACCAAUCCGCCCAGUUUAACUGAAAAAGAAACAACUCCCUCCCCCAAGGAGAUAUUUUAAAAGCUAAAAGCUAAGAACUUAAGUACAAAGGCUUUUGUGUUUUUAUUGACAUUGUAAGAAACAUUUUUUUCUUUGUUACAAAAGAGCUAAGUGGUUCUGAAAGCAGAAGUACAGUUCAUAUGUACACAGUGCUACAGACCCUUCAGAUCAACCUAAGGCUCAAGAAACAACAGAUCAUAACUGCAGGUUUAUCAAAUGAAGAUCACUAAGGCCAGUUACAGCCAAACACUAUUCCUACUGUACGUAAAUGUAUUUACACUAUUACAAAAAGAAAAAAGAAAAAAAAAAGGAUUACAAGCUUUAUUUAAAAAAACAACUAAAAAAGUUUUAAAAUGAACACAUUUUUAUCUUACACAUCUGCAGGACUGACAACAGUAACUUUUCAAUAGGCGACAUUCUAUCAAUCCAAAGACAAUAACACAUGAAUAUCAGAGGUUUACAAGACACUUGAGACACUAUUAACAGUGAUAUGUGCUAUCAGCUGAAUGGUAAAUACAGCCUCAUUGUGAAAAUUUGUCAACAUAUCUUGGUCCCUCUCUGUCACAGGAUAACACAAAAUAAGGCACAUACAUUGCGAGAAUAUAAACACUGCUGUUCAGAAGGAUGAGCCACUGUGCAACACGUGUGGGUGAGCUAACCAGCUAUGUCAUCAAGAGAGAGGGAGGGGAAGGAGGCAAUGACUGGAAGCAAGCAAGUGAGCCAGGGUUUCAAUGCAUGUGUCAUUUGGGACCAUUCUCCAAGGAGAGAAUAAGAUUAUCUGUUGUGUGGACAUACUAGGCCAUAGUACUUACCAGCAACCCCCUGCUGGAAGCCCACUGACUUGUUCGCAAAAAUACCUUUAAUCCACCCAGUCUACUUUAUGGACGAGCUCUCACAGGUGACUCCAAAUUUGUGGAAAGUAAAAAGGUCUGUAAAAAUGUGAGCAAGGCAGAUGUGCCCAAGGCCAACAGUAAUUGAUGUGGAAGAUCCUCAAAGAGCCAUUAGAAAAAAGGGUGAUUUAGAGUCAGGCUGUGACCACUGCAAUGCUUUUAAAAAAAAAAAACAGGAGAAAAUCACAAAAACUCCUGCAUUUUCUAGUACUUCAUGGUGAGUGGUGGGCUUCCAACUGCCAAAUGCAUCAAACACACAAAAGCAAGCUUCAGCUCUGUGACUGGAAGACCAGGAGGGUGCUAAGUAAACUUGUGAGUGACAUUGGUGGGAUUUUCCCCAGACUAUCACACAUCCAGAAGGUGGUUACCAACUUAACGCCAGUGUCCAGCCUUACAGUGCCAUGUUCUGAGAGCCUGCUCUACCUCAUCAAAACAAAACAAAAAAUGAAGAUAGCUGGGCUACGAUGUAUUGGUACCUUCACAGAUGUCAACAAAUCAGGUUCUUUAGCAUCAAAAACAAAAGUAUGAUAGGAUAAUAAAAGCUGAGAAGUGAUAUGUUUAUGUAAGAAAAGAGGCACAUACGCUUCAAUGGUGAAAAUGAUAUACCAUUAGAACAAACUCUCCAGGGACAUUGUGGAAUUUCUGUUUCUUUGUCAUCCCCAAAUCAAAACUAGAUGACUUUCUCAAACAUGUGGUUUAGGCCAAGACACAUUGUUGGCCUGAAACAGGGCUAAGUGAGUGACAAAGGUUUGUCAAGUCCAGGAAGGCAAAUCAGAUACUCAAACAGUCCCUUCUAGCCUGAAGCAAUGUGAAUGGAUUCUCCUAAGCUCUGAUGAAUCAUAUCUUUCCCAGCUUCAAUUGAACCAGCAAAUACAAUUAUAAACUGGAAAACUGAGUUCAAAAAAUUCUUCUUUUUUAAUGUAUUGGUUCUGUAAUAAUAAAAGGCUUCUUUCCUAAGCCACCUCUUCCCAGCCUAGUCAUAAGCCUCACCAUUGAAAUUGUUUAUAAACAUGUAAUUGAUGGCUUAUUGAACAUCCAGCCACUGGUUACCACAAAGCACUCGAAAUACUUCCAGCUGAUGUGAGCACAGCCUUUCCUAAUGCUCUUUCUCAGCAGGAGCAUGAGCUAUUAAUACCAUAGCACCGCAAGGUAAAGUGUGGCAAUAGAAGCAUCCCUCUAUCCAAACCAGCUGACUGUCUUGAUAAGCUCUGCUCAGUUCCCUCUGAAGGCUGGAGACCACUACAGAAGGGCUGUCAGAUCUGACAAUGGGCAGGAAGGUCAGGAGGGGAACCAGCAAUGGGCAAAGAGCACAAAGGGAGGGAGUACACGUGCGUAAUGCAGAUGAGAAGAAAUGCUUGUUAAAGAUAUGGAGAAAAACAGGAGCAGGACAAUGAUAAAAGCUGUAGGACACUGAGGAAAUCUUUUUAUUUACAUUUGUCUUGAUCUCUGACACUCCAGCUCACAUUUAAUAUGUGCUGUGAUAAGCCCAAGUACAGCCUCAGCAAUGGAUUCAUAUGUUUUCUUUCAGAUUUACAGCUUCUUCAUCUGCUUGUAACAGCUGAUAAUAGAUUGAUGUUAUCAGAGAACUCCACUUAGGCUGUAUUCCUACACAUUCCUCAAAUGCUAUGCCCUGAACAAGCUGCUAUUUCACCCUUUACUACAGUUAAAAAAAAAAAAAAAAAAAAAA